RNAcentral lists this ribosomal RNA (372 nucleotides) under uncultured organism. RNAcentral describes it as "bacterial SSU rRNA". It matches the Rfam family "Bacterial small subunit ribosomal RNA", at positions 526 to 896 of the family's 1533-position model. The record is from RNAcentral.
CGUAGGUGGCGAGCGUUGUCCGGAAUUACUGGGUGUAAAGGGCGUGUAGGCGGGACUGUAAGUCAGAUGUGAAAUUCUGAGGCUUAACCUCAGCGCUGCAUCUGAAACUGCGGUUCUUGAGUGUCGGAGAGGAAAGUGGAAUUCCCAGUGUAGCGGUGAAAUGCGUAGAUAUUGGGAGGAACACCAGUGGCGAAGGCGACUUUCUGGACGACAACUGACGCUGAGGCGCGAAAGCGUGGGGAGCAAACAGGAUUAGAUACCCUGGUAGUCCACGCUGUAAACGAUGGAUACUAGGUGUAGGAGGUAUCGACCCCUUCUGUGCCGGAGUUAACACAAUAAGUAUCCCACCUGGGGAGUACGGCCGCAAGGUUG